Molecule: ribosomal RNA, 250 nt
Filed under: uncultured bacterium
Lineage: Bacteria
Description: partial 16S ribosomal RNA
Rfam family: Bacterial small subunit ribosomal RNA
Source: RNAcentral
UCGAGAAUCUUCGGCAAUGGGGGAAACCCUGACCGAGCGACGCCGCGUGCGGGAUGAAGGCCCUCGGGUUGUAAACCGCUGUCGUAAGGGAACAAAUCUAGAGGGGUACUCCCCUUUAGUUGAGUGAUCUUAGGAGGAAGGACGGGCUAAGUUCGUGCCAGCAGCCGCGGUAAGACGAACCGUCCGAACGUUAUUCGGUAUCACUGGGCUUAAAGAGUUCGUAGGCGGCCCGACAGGUGAGGUGUGAAAU